GACGAACGCUGGCGGCGUGCCUAAUACAUGCAAGUAGAACGCUGAAGAGAGGAGCUUGCUCUUCUUGGAUGAGUUGCGAACGGGUGAGUAACGCGUAGGUAACCUGCCUUGUAGCGGGGGAUAACUAUUGGAAACGAUAGCUAAUACCGCAUAACAAUGGAUGACACAUGUCAUUUAUUUGAAAGGGGCAAUUGUUCCACUACAAGAUGGACCUGCGUUGUAUUAGCUAGUAGGUGAGGUAAUGGCUCACCUAGGCGACGAUACAUAGCCGACCUGAGAGGGUGAUCGGCCACACUGGGACUGAGACACGGCCCAG
This 316-nucleotide ribosomal RNA is filed under the name uncultured Streptococcus sp. Its description in RNAcentral is "bacterial SSU rRNA". It matches the Rfam family "Bacterial small subunit ribosomal RNA", at positions 28 to 334 of the family's 1533-position model. Lineage: Bacteria; Bacillati; Bacillota; Bacilli; Lactobacillales; Streptococcaceae. The record is from RNAcentral.